CUCCUGUGAUGAUCCAGCCAUGCUAAUACUGAUGUACCAGACUCUUUUGGUCUGGGUGCAAGUGCGUUCAGCUUUCCUUCUCACGCUGACAGUGUCGGCGUGUGUACUGAGGAGA
Small nucleolar RNA from Synchiropus splendidus (mandarinfish), 115 nucleotides. The record is from RefSeq and is a predicted model, not a curated record. NCBI's taxonomy places the organism in Eukaryota, Metazoa, Chordata, Actinopteri, Syngnathiformes, Callionymidae.